GAUAAACGCUGGCGGCGUGCUUAACACAUGCAAGUCGAACGAAGUUUUUCCUUCGGGAGAAACUUAGUGGCGGACGGGUGAGUAACGCGUGGGUAACCUGCCCUGUACAGGGGGACAACAGCUGGAAACGGCUGCUAAUACCGCAUAAGCACUUAGCACUGCAUGGUGCAUAGGGAAAAGGAGCAAUCCGGUACAGGAUGGACCCGCGUCUGAUUAGCCAGUUGGCAGGGUAACGGCCUACCAAAGCGACGAUCAGUAGCCGAUCUGAGGGGAUGUACGGCCACAUUGGGACUGAGACACGGCCCAGACUCCUACGGGAGGCAGCAGUGGGGAAUAUUGCACAAUGGAGGAAACUCUGAUGCAGCGACGCCGCGUGAGUGAAGAAGUAUUUCGGUAUGUAAAGCUCUAUCAGCAGGGAAGAAAAUGACGGUACCUGACUAAGAAGCACCGGCUAAAUACGUG
Molecule: ribosomal RNA, 462 nt
Filed under: uncultured bacterium
Lineage: Bacteria
Description: partial 16S ribosomal RNA
Rfam family: Bacterial small subunit ribosomal RNA
Source: RNAcentral